CUAUUUGAAUUUUAAUUGGAGGUUCCUGCUUACAAAUUUUCUAUGAUUUGUGGGGGUUCUUGGCUUUUAAAAUUUUAUCUUGGGUACCCUGUGCCCCCCUUUUAUGACGUGUGUUUUUUUUUAUACAAUAAAUUUCAAUAUAAAUUGCUUAAAAAUAAAUAUGUAAUAAUAUUUUAAAAGUAUUAUUAAACCAGAGAAAAAAUGAAUUACUUAAA
Long non-coding RNA from Leptopilina heterotoma, 215 nucleotides. RefSeq lists it as uncharacterized. The record is from RefSeq and is a predicted model, not a curated record. The transcript has 2 exons. Lineage: Eukaryota; Metazoa; Arthropoda; Insecta; Hymenoptera; Figitidae.